This 343-nucleotide ribosomal RNA is filed under the name Escherichia coli LAU-EC8. Its description in RNAcentral is "bacterial LSU rRNA". It matches the Rfam family "Bacterial large subunit ribosomal RNA", at positions 1 to 371 of the family's 2925-position model. Lineage: Bacteria; Pseudomonadati; Pseudomonadota; Gammaproteobacteria; Enterobacterales; Enterobacteriaceae. The record is from RNAcentral.
GGGUUGUGAGGUUAAGCGACUAAGCGUACACGGUGGAUGCCCUGGCAGUCAGAGGCGAUGAAGGACGUGCUAAUCUGCGAUAAGCGUCGGUGAGGUGAUAUGAACCGUUAUAACCGGCGAUUUCCGAAUGGGGAAACCCAGUGUGUUUCGACACACUAUCAUUAACUGAAUCCAUAGGUUAAUGAGGCGAACCGGGGGAACUGAAACAUCUAAGUACCCCGAGGAAAAGAAAUCAACCGAGAUUCCCCCAGUAGCGGCGAGCGAACGGGGAGCAGCCCAGAGCCUGAAUCAGUGUGUGUGUUAGUGGAAGCGUCUGGAAAGGCGCGCGAUACAGGGUGACAGC